Molecule: ribosomal RNA, 250 nt
Filed under: uncultured bacterium
Lineage: Bacteria
Description: partial 16S ribosomal RNA
Rfam family: Bacterial small subunit ribosomal RNA
Source: RNAcentral
GCCUACGGGGGGCAGCAGUGGGGAAUAUUGCACAAUGGGGGAAACCCUGAUGCAGCAACGCCGCGUGAGUGAAGAAGUAUUUCGGUAUGUAAAGCUCUAUCAGCAGGGAAGAAAAUGACGGUACCCGACCAAGAAGCCCCGGCUAACUACGUGCCAGCAGCCGCGGUAAUACGUAGGGGGCGAGCGUUAUCCGGAAUUACUGGGUGUAAAGGGAGCGUAGACGGCGAGGUAAGCCUGAAGUGGAAGCCCG